This 271-nucleotide ribosomal RNA is filed under the name uncultured bacterium. Its description in RNAcentral is "partial 16S ribosomal RNA". It matches the Rfam family "Bacterial small subunit ribosomal RNA", at positions 524 to 794 of the family's 1533-position model. The record is from RNAcentral.
UACGGAGGGUACAAGCGUUAUCCGGAUUCACUGGGUUUAAAGGGUGCGUAGGCGGGCUUGUAAGUCAGUGGUGAAAGCCCGGGGCUCAACUCCGGAACUGCCGUUGAUACUGCAAGCCUUGAGUACGGUUGAGGUGGGCGGAAUACAUCAUGUAGAGGUGAAAUUCUUAGAUAUGAUGUAGAACACCGAUUGCGAAGGCAGCUCACUAAAGCGUAACUGACGCUGAGGCACGAAAGCGUGGGGAUCAAACAGGAUUAGAAACCCUGGUAGU